CCUACGGGAGGCAGCAGUGGGGAAUAUUGGACAAUGGGGGCAACCCUGAUCCAGCGAUGCCGCGUGUGUGAAGAAGGCUUUCGGGUUGUAAAGCACUUUCAGUAGUGAAGAAUGACGCAACGGUUAAUACCCGUAGCGAGUGACGUUAACUACAGAAGAAGCACCGGCUAACUCCGUGCCAGCAGCCGCGGUAAU
RNAcentral lists this ribosomal RNA (195 nucleotides) under uncultured bacterium. RNAcentral describes it as "partial 16S ribosomal RNA". It matches the Rfam family "Bacterial small subunit ribosomal RNA", at positions 338 to 524 of the family's 1533-position model. The record is from RNAcentral.